AGGCAGUCAAGUCUCUUACGUUUGAGGU
This 28-nucleotide non-coding RNA is filed under the name Rattus norvegicus (Norway rat). The record is from RNAcentral. Lineage: Eukaryota; Metazoa; Chordata; Mammalia; Rodentia; Muridae.